GAUGAACGCUGGCGGCGUGCCUAAUACAUGCAAGUCGAGCGAACAGAUAAGGAGCUUGCUCCUUUGACGUUAGCGGCGGACGGGUGAGUAACACGUGGAUAACCUACCUAUAAGACUGGGAUAACUUCGGGAAACCGGAGCUAAUACCGGAUAACAUAUUGAACCGCAUGGUUCAAUAGUGAAAGGCGGCUUUGCUGUCACUUAUAGAUGGAUCCGCGCCGUAUUAGCUAGUUGGUAAGGUAACGGCUUACCAAGGCAACGAUACGUAGCCGACCUGAGAGGGUGAUCGGCCACACUGGAACUGAGACACGGUCCAGACUCCUACGGGAGGCAGCAGUAGGGAAUCUUCCGCAAUGGGCGAAAGCCUGACGGAGCAACGCCGCGUGAGUGAUGAAGGUCUUCGGAUCGUAAAACUCUGUUAUCAGGGAAGAACAAAUGUGUAAGUAACUGUGCACAUCUUGACGGUACCUGAUCAGAAAGCCACGGCUAACUACGUGCCAGCAGCCGCGGUAACACGUAGGUGGCAAGCGUUAUCCGGAAUUAUUGGGCGUAAAGCGCGCGUAGGCGGUUUUUUAGUCUGAUGUGAAAGCCCACGGCUCAACCGUGGAGGGUCAUUGGAAACUGGAAAACUUGAGUGCAGAAGAGGAAAGUGGAAUUCCAUGUGUAGCGGUGAAAUGCGCAGAGAUAUGGAGGAACACCAGUGGCGAAGGCGACUUUCUGGUCUGUAACUGACGCUGAUGUGCGAAAGCGUGGGGAUCAAACAGGAUUAGAUACCCUGGUAGUCCACGCCGUAAACGAUGAGUGCUAAGUGUUAGGGGGUUUCCGCCCCUUAGUGCUGCAGCUAACGCAUUAAGCACUCCGCCUGGGGAGUACGACCGCAAGGUUGAAACUCAAAGGAAUUGACGGGGACCCGCACAAGCGGUGGAGCAUGUGGUUUAAUUCGAAGCAACGCGAAGAACCUUACCAAAUCUUGACAUCCUUUGACCGCUCUAGAGAUAGAGUCUUCCCCUUCGGGGGACAAAGUGACAGGUGGUGCAUGGUUGUCGUCAGCUCGUGUCGUGAGAUGUUGGGUUAAGUCCCGCAACGAGCGCAACCCUUAAGCUUAGUUGCCAUCAUUAAGUUGGGCACUCUAAGUUGACUGCCGGUGACAAACCGGAGGAAGGUGGGGAUGACGUCAAAUCAUCAUGCCCCUUAUGAUUUGGGCUACACACGUGCUACAAUGGACAAUACAAAGGGCAGCUAAACCGCGAGGUCAAGCAAAUCCCAUAAAGUUGUUCUCAGUUCGGAUUGUAGUCUGCAACUCGACUACAUGAAGCUGGAAUCGCUAGUAAUCGUAGAUCAGCAUGCUACGGUGAAUACGUUCCCGGGUCU
This 1371-nucleotide ribosomal RNA is filed under the name uncultured bacterium. RNAcentral describes it as "bacterial SSU rRNA". It matches the Rfam family "Bacterial small subunit ribosomal RNA", at positions 28 to 1381 of the family's 1533-position model. The record is from RNAcentral.